Molecule: long non-coding RNA, 865 nt
Organism: Notothenia coriiceps (black rockcod)
Lineage: Eukaryota; Metazoa; Chordata; Actinopteri; Perciformes; Nototheniidae
Exons: 3
Source: RefSeq, a predicted model, not a curated record
CAGAACAAUCUUUGAAAUCAUCUCUCCAAGCUGUUCAAUCAAGAGAUGCAGGGUCAUGUACACCUGCAGCGACAGCUUUUUCCCAGCGUGCGUUUGAAGGAACCACCAACCCGUUGUUAAAGAAGGGCUGGGUUCAGAAGGGCUGGGUUCAGAAGGGCUGCACAUGUUAGCAAAAAUAAUCACUGGAGGAGUAUUUGUGCUGAUAGUAGGCACCAUGCUGGCCACAACUCUCUUCCUCAUCAGAAAAAGAUACGGUCCAGUGCCAAGAGACUGAACGAGAGGAGGUGAGCUGGGAGAUGGUUUCAGGCCACAGCUUAACAUGACUUUUUGAAUUAGUUUGAACAUUUACCCCAAAAAAAGCAUUAAGUUCUUUGUCUAAAGAAGUUAAUGCAAAUAACAAAAGCAAGGUCCUUAAAUAACACAUAAGUGUGUUCUACUCUGAUGUCAGGCUCAAAGUAUGCACGGAUGUCAGUCAACAUACAAAGACUGGAAAGUGUUUCAAAGUCAUAAUAUAGAUGUCUUUUUUUCUUUUACAAUUGGACACUAUAACUUAAAUGAUUUUGUAAUCAUUCAGCAAACUUAUCACAUCCUCCCAUCAGUAAGUUAACUGCUCCUGAAAGUACAAGUCCAUGUUAUUCUAUAUUUUUUGACAAAUCCCAUAAAAAGGCAAAAAGCAGGGCUUUCUUUGUUGCCAACUCAAACAUGAUUUAACGCUGCAUUGGUUGGUGAAAUAUUUGCAUCUGUGGAUUAAUACAAAUAAGGGAGAUUUUACAGCUGCAUUUCGGUGUGUGAGUACUCAAAAUACGGUACCACUUUACAAUAAGACUUAUAAAAGGUUUACGAAUAGUUUUUAAUUUAUUUAUUA